This 253-nucleotide ribosomal RNA is filed under the name uncultured bacterium. RNAcentral describes it as "partial 16S ribosomal RNA". It matches the Rfam family "Bacterial small subunit ribosomal RNA", at positions 524 to 776 of the family's 1533-position model. The record is from RNAcentral.
UACGGAGGGUGCAAGCGUUAUCCGGAUUCACUGGGUUUAAAGGGUGCGUAGGUGGGUCUGUAAGUCCGUGGUGAAAUCUCUAGGCUUAACCUGGAAACUGCCAUGGAUACUAUAGGUCUUGAAUACUGUGGAGGUCAGCGGAAUAUGUCAUGUAGCGGUGAAAUGCUUAGAUAUGACAUAGAACACCGAUUGCGAAGGCAGCUGGCUACACAAAUAUUGACACUGAGGCACGAAAGCGUGGGGAUCAAACAGG